This 251-nucleotide ribosomal RNA is filed under the name Gammaproteobacteria bacterium. Its description in RNAcentral is "partial 23S ribosomal RNA". It matches the Rfam family "Bacterial large subunit ribosomal RNA", at positions 2697 to 2925 of the family's 2925-position model. Lineage: Bacteria; Pseudomonadati; Pseudomonadota; Gammaproteobacteria. The record is from RNAcentral.
GUGGACGCACCUCUGGUGUUCCGGUUGUCACGCCAGUGGCACUGCCGGGUAGCUAUGUGCGGACGGGAUAACCGCUGAAAGCAUCUAAGCGGGAAGCCCCUCCCAAGAUGAGACCUCCCUGGACCCUUGAGGUCCCUGAAGGGCCGUCCGAGACCAGGACGUUGAUAGGCCGGGUGUGGAAGCGCAGUAAUGCGUGUAGCUAACCGGUACUAAUUGCCCGUGAGGCUUGACCAUAUAACACUCAAGCGGUU